GCUUGACACUGAACAUUGAGCCUUGAUGUGUAGGAUAGGUGGGAGGCUUUGAAGUGUGGACGCCAGUCUGCAUGGAGCCGACCUUGAAAUACCACCCUUUAAUGUUUGAUGUUCUAACGUGGACCCGUUACCCGGGUUGCGGACAGUGUCUGGUGGGUAGUUUGACUGGGGCGGUCUCCUCCUAAAGAGUAACGGAGGAGCACGAAGGUUGGCUAAUCCUGGUCGGACAUCAGGAGGUUAGUGCAAUGGCAUAAGCCAGCUUGACUGCGAGCGUGACGGCGCGAGCAGGUGCGAAAGCAGGUCAUAGUGAUCCGGUGGUUCUGAAUGGAAGGGCCAUCGCUCAACGGAUAAAAGGUACUCCGGGGAUAACAGGCUGAUACCGCCCAAGAGUUCAUAUCGACGGCGGUGUUUGGCACCUCGAUGUCGGCUCAUCACAUCCUGGGGCUGAAGUAGGUCCCAAGGGUAUGGCUGUUCGCCAUUUAAAGUGGUACGCGAGCUGGGUUUAGAACGUCGUGAGACAGUUCGGUCCCUAUCUGCCGUGGGCGCUGGAGAACUGAGGGGGGCUGCUCCUAGUACGAGAGGACCGGAGUGGACGCAUCACUGGUGUUCGGGUUGUCAUGCCAAUGGCACUGCCCGGUAGCUAAAUGCGGAAGAGAUAAGUGCUGAAAGCAUCUAAGC
RNAcentral lists this ribosomal RNA (678 nucleotides) under Salmonella enterica. Its description in RNAcentral is "partial 23S ribosomal RNA". It matches the Rfam family "Bacterial large subunit ribosomal RNA", at positions 2109 to 2786 of the family's 2925-position model. Lineage: Bacteria; Pseudomonadati; Pseudomonadota; Gammaproteobacteria; Enterobacterales; Enterobacteriaceae. The record is from RNAcentral.